GUGGGGAAUAUUGGACAAUGGGCGAAAGCCUGAUCCAGCCAUGCCGCGUGUGUGAAGAAGGUCUUCGGAUUGUAAAGCACUUUAAGUUGGGAGGAAGGGCAGUAAGUUAAUACCUUGCUGUUUUGACGUUACCGACAGAAUAAGCACCGGCUAACUUCGUACCAGCAGCCGCGGUAAUACGAAGGGUGCAAGCGUUAAUCGGAAUUACUGGGCGUAAAGCGCGCGUAGGUGGUUUUGUAAGUUGGAGGUGAAAUCCCCGGGCUCAACCUGGGAACUGCCUCCAAAACUGCAUGACUAGAGUACGGUAGAGGGUAGUGGAAUUUCCUGUGUAGCGGUGAAAUGCGUAGAUAUAGGAAGGAACACCAGUGGCGAAGGCGACUACCUGGACUGAUACUGACACUGAGGUGCGAAAGCGUGGGGAGCAAACAGGAUUAGAUACCCGGGUAGUCC
This 450-nucleotide ribosomal RNA is filed under the name uncultured bacterium. RNAcentral describes it as "partial 16S ribosomal RNA". It matches the Rfam family "Bacterial small subunit ribosomal RNA", at positions 354 to 796 of the family's 1533-position model. The record is from RNAcentral.